ACGGGUGAGUAACGCGUGGGAAUCUACCCAUCUCUACGGAAUAACGCAUGGAAACGUGUGCUAAUACCGUAUACGUCCUUCGGGAGAAAGAUUUAUCGGAGAUGGAUGAGCCCGCGUUGGAUUAGCUAGUUGGUGGGGUAAAGGCCUACCAAGGCGACGAUCCAUAGCUGGUCUGAGAGGAUGAUCAGCCACACUGGGACUGAGACACGGCCCAGACUCCUACGGGAGGCAGCAGUGGGGUAUAUUGGACAAUGGGCGCAAGCCUGAUCCAGCCAUGCCGCGUGAGUGAUGAAGGCCCUAGGGUUGUAAAGCUCUUUCACCGGUGAAGAUAAUGACGGUAACCGGAGAAGAAGCCCCGGCUAACUUCGUGCCAGCAGCCGCGGUAAUACGAAGGGGGCUAGCGUUGUUCGGAUUUACUGGGCGUAAAGCGCACGUAGGCGGACUAUUAAGUCAGGGGUGAAAUCCCGGGGCUCAACCCCGGAACUGCCUUUGAUACUGGUAGUCUUGAGUUCGAGAGAGGUGAGUGGAAUUCCGAGUGUAGAGGUGAAAUUCGUAGA
This 557-nucleotide ribosomal RNA is filed under the name uncultured bacterium. RNAcentral's name for it is "bacterial SSU rRNA". It matches the Rfam family "Bacterial small subunit ribosomal RNA", at positions 102 to 694 of the family's 1533-position model. The record is from RNAcentral.